GACGAACGCUGGCGGCGUGCUUAACACAUGCAUGUCGAACGCGCCUGUCCUCUGGGUUUCUGGGGGGUGGGUGAGUGGCGAACGGGUGAGUAACACGUGAGUAACCUGCCCCCUUCUUCGGGAUAACGGUCUGAAAGGGCUGCUAAUACCGGGUAUUCACUGGUCUCCGCAUGGGGUCUGGUGGAAAGGUUUUUUUCUGGUGGGGGAUGGGCUCGCGGCCUAUCAGCUUGUUGGUGGGGUGAUGGCCCACCAAGGCUUUGACGGGUAGCCGGCCUGAGAGGGGGACCGGUCACAUUGGGACUGAGAUACGGCCCAGACUCCUACGGGAGGCAGCAGUGGGGAAUAUUGCACAAUGGGCGCAAGCCUGAUGCAGCGACGCCGCGUGAGGGAUGGAGGCCUUCGGGUUGUGAACCUCUUUCGCCCGUGGUCAAGCCGCGACGUGGGUCGUGGUGAGGGUAGUGGGUAAAGAAGCGCCGGCUAACUACGU
Molecule: ribosomal RNA, 487 nt
Filed under: uncultured bacterium
Lineage: Bacteria
Description: partial 16S ribosomal RNA
Rfam family: Bacterial small subunit ribosomal RNA
Source: RNAcentral